AUACUUCCCUGGCAGGGGAGAUACCAUGAUCACGAAGGUUUCUCCAAAAGUGGAAAACUCAACAGCAUAAUUUGUAGUAGAGGGAGACUGCAUUCAUGCUCUCCCCUG
RNAcentral lists this small nuclear RNA (108 nucleotides) under Castor canadensis (American beaver). Its description in RNAcentral is "U1 spliceosomal RNA (ENSCCNG00000005963.1)". It matches the Rfam family "U1 spliceosomal RNA". From Rfam's summary of the family: U1 is a small nuclear RNA (snRNA) component of the spliceosome (involved in pre-mRNA splicing). The record is from RNAcentral. Lineage: Eukaryota; Metazoa; Chordata; Mammalia; Rodentia; Castoridae.